CUGGUGUCUGAGCCCCCUUCCCUCAGCCUGUCUCAGGUCAGUGGCUGCUUCACUGAGGGUGCAAAGCCUCGUCUGCCGGAGACCCAGCUGCCCUGGCCACUGCAGCCCCACCCCCACUGCAGGCUGGGCAUCCUGAGGCUGGCAGGCAUCUCUUCAGGCAGCCGCCGGUCCUGGCACUGGCUCCAGCCACUCAGCCCCUUGGCCCUGCCAGUUCUUUGAAGCUCAUGCAGCGCUUCCUGUUUGGGGCGGGCGAUGCCAGGGCCCCUCCCCCACUAUUGUUCUGUAGAGACCAUAGGUCCAUCUGUUGCCCCAUGGUGGGGCCCCUAGGCAGUGCCACACGGGAGCAGCACCACAAAGGACCCUGCUGGCAGCUUUGCUUACAUGGAGCCAGGCUGGGCCCUGGAGCAGGUUGAGGAUGAAUGGUGGUGUGGAGGCAAGUGCCCUGUAAUUCUGCAGCUCAUCUCCUCUGCCGUGGCCUGAUUCUAUGGGUCGGACCUCUACCUGCUUCCUCCCACAGGGCUGGAAGCCCAGACAUGGUCUACCCCACUUCCCUUGCCAGAUCCUCUGGCCUCUCUUCCCAGCCCAGGACCUGAAUUGCCUAGAUCGCAGCUCCCAGAAGGAGAGAGCUGCAGAGACGUCAGAUGGAGGCCAUAGAGUGAGAUGCUGAAUGUAAGAGGAGAACUUGGUAGCUGACACAAAGCUCCAUCCAGGAUCCAGUCCCUUCUCCACAAGAUUCAGCAUCAGUCAGCAGUGAUCCCAUGACCACUGGGAACCAAACGCUGUCCUAGGCCUUCCUUGUGCUCCCUCUCCAUCUCCAGCCAAAGUGGGUCGAGCUGAGGGACAGGGAGGUGAUCUGGAAAGAGCAAGUGCAACUCUCUGCUCUGCCGUGUAUCAGCUGUCUGUUUAAUCACAUCCUCAGAACCUCAACUUCUUCACCUAUAAAAUGUAAAUAAAUAGAACAGACCUUGAGAGACCCAAGUGAAGCUUCAAGGAGAGAGGGCAGCGCAUCUACAAAAUCAGCCCAGGGCCUGCCCGCUGAGCACUUCCUGUCGGCUUGCUUCUCUUCCACUUUCUCUGAGCCUCAUUCCUCUGGGACCCCAUGACCCCUGUCGUGGCUCUGCCCUCAAAAACCCCUCUCAUCUCUCGGGGAAUCAGAGUGGAGUCAGAAGAAAGAGGCUUAAUUGAGAAGGUUUUUCUGGUUUCUCAAAAGACCACGAUUCUGGGGAAGAGAGGCUCAGGAUGGGUAUGAGAGAGGAAGCCCUCAGGCAUAUAGAAUAUGGCCGCAGAGGGACAGGAGUGUUACCUUGGGGGGGCGGAGUCCUGCUUUCCUGGAGGAGAGUGGGCGAGUGGGCACUACUCCAGCUCCAGAGCAUGGAUCGGAUAGGCCGGGCGGGGGCUGGGCCAGGCGUGGCUCUUCUGCCAGCCUGCCCUCAUGGUCCAGCCCAGAACUUGCACAACAGCCUGGCUUGCUGGCUGCCUGUUUGGCUGGCAGUCCCCUGGGAACCUUAGGAAGUCCCCCUUGUCCUCCCCUUGACCUUUGACCCCUUAGGCCUGCUACAGGCCAGAAUUCCAGGCAGUUGUCCUCUCUUUUACCUUCUGUUCCUGGCCAUUUCCCUUUAAG
Equus caballus (horse) is the source of this 1621-nucleotide long non-coding RNA. NCBI's taxonomy places the organism in Eukaryota, Metazoa, Chordata, Mammalia, Perissodactyla, Equidae. The record is from Ensembl.